This 209-nucleotide small nuclear RNA is filed under the name Chelydra serpentina (North American snapping turtle). RNAcentral describes it as "U4 spliceosomal RNA (ENSCSRG00000016412.1)". The stretch from base 13 to 86 matches the Rfam family "U4 spliceosomal RNA", at positions 17 to 138 of the family's 138-position model. Lineage: Eukaryota; Metazoa; Chordata; Testudines; Chelydridae. The record is from RNAcentral.
AUCCAGGUCUUAAGUAUCGUAGCCAAUGAGGUUAAUCCGAGGCGCGAUUAUUGCUAAUUGUAAACUUCCCAAAAGUGUUUGUAAUUCUUCUUCCUGUUUUAUUGACCAGCUCUGCCAUGCACUAGCUUCUCGUUAAACCCAAACCUACUUGCACUAACUAAUAUAUCUGUUUUUGCACAGUAUUUUUAGAACUCCCGUUGUAUGUUGGG